This 306-nucleotide long non-coding RNA is filed under the name Mytilus galloprovincialis (Mediterranean mussel). Lineage: Eukaryota; Metazoa; Mollusca; Bivalvia; Mytilida; Mytilidae. The record is from RNAcentral.
UUUUUUUCUUUUCGUGUACAAACGCGUACUUUACUCUUUUAUUCUAUUUGAAUCUCCAUUGGAAGGCAUCUGACAUUCUUAGUGAGCGUAAAAUCAAUAGAAAUUUACAAACAAGUUGGAGGUAAAGGAUUCAGUGUUAUUACCAACAUCAGUAUUCCGGUUGUCCACGCUGUUCUGAAAAUGAUUCUAUAAACUUAAUUAUACUGAAAAUCAAGCUCUCAAUGACUUAACUUACUGAUAAUUGAUAUAGGAGAAAGAUUAAAUGUGAGUUUACAGCAAUGCAACAGCAACCAAACGACACAAACC